UUUCCUUUCUGGGUGAGGGGAGGCCGGAAGCUUGGGAAAGGUGUGUGCCCCCCCCCCCCGCACCGCGCCGCCCGGGUGCUGGGUGGGCCAGGCGACGGGAAUCCUGGAGCGUGCCGGGGCCGCGCGCCUUCGCCUGUUUCCCGUGCAGACCGCCCAGCGAUCGGCGGCGCAGAGCCCGGCAGGGGCGGCCCUCCCGUCGUGCGGUUUAGAAAUCGCACACGUUCCCGGUCUGUGAGUCCCCGGCGCCGGGGUGGUGCCAGUGCUGCCGUGGGCUUUCGCCGGGGGCUCGGGCCGGCGCUCGGUGACAAAGAGUCGGCUUGGGGGAGGGGAGGCGACGCCGCAGUGCUCGCUCCCCACGUCCCCCCACCCCGCACGUGAAGAGGAACAAUUUGUUUAUCUUGGGCUUCAAGAAUCCUUCCCUCCUCCCAGUUCUCCGGGGGCGCUCAACCCCUCCUCCCUCCCCUCCCAGGUCGGCGCGAUCCUGCCCAGUCCCGCCGGCAGCACCUUCCCUCCUCCUCUUCCUCCUCCCCCUCCCCUUCCUCCUCCCUUCCUCCUCCUCCAGCCACUCUUGCCCGCCUUCUUCCUCCCUUUUGGAACGUGGCCGUGGGGGAGGGAGCGGGAGGCGCUUUGUCCGCCUCGCGGCCCAGCUCAGACCCCGGGGCCGCUGGGCUGGGAGGGGUGCUGCGCCCCGUGGCCCUGCCCGCUUCAUCGCGGCUGUCCCCGCCCCGCCGCGCCCCCCAUGCCCCCGCGUCCCUCCUCUCCGCUCCCCCUGCGGCUGAGCCUGCCCCGAGCGCGAAGAAGGGGCCGUCUCGGUUGGUUUUGAGGAAGAACGACAGUUCGAGUCGGGGGAGGUUCUCGCUUUACAAACAGGAAACCGAAAACCACUGACACACUGUAGUUUUUCUGAUUGUAGCCGGAGGCGGGGCCGGUCCCGCAUCUCGACUGUAGCUCCGGUCCCUUUCUCCAACCUAUUUCUCUCCCAGCCCCCGCCCCCCUAGCGCCCUUCCACGGAGGAGGAGAUUCACUUUGUGAACCUGAGACUGAGAAUUUAAGAGGCACUGAAGGUUUCAUGCCUGCCCACCCCGCGUCCUCUUUUCGUGUAUUUGUACACCCCACGCGCAUGGAUUGCGGAGAAAUGGGCUCCUUUCGGGAGGCUCCAAAAUUCCCGUGCCACAGAAUCUCUCACAACCUUUGGGGAUCAAGGACUGCUGUGGCGUUUACCUCGCCAGCUGGGGGACCCUGGAACAAAAGCCAGUGCCGUUCCCAGUGCCGGGUCUCUGGACACGGCAAGAUGAGUAGAGUUUGCGACCAGAAACUUUCGGUGUUUGGGUUGUGUUCUCUGGUUUCCGCCCUGGUGGAGGGAGGGCUCGGGUGCGCGCGCCUGGUUUGUGAUACACUCGCAGGUGGAAGCAAGCCCAGCCUCCUGACCUUACUGGGAAGAAGACAGCAAGCCCAAGCCACAGCUUACUUUUGAAAAUAGAAAGAUAAUGCUUGCUUCAAUAGACAGAGACAUCAGCUGUAGAUUUCAUAGUGAAUCCCAGUUUAGCAAAUUAGCAACAAAUAGACUUGAAAGAUGACUGCGUGAA
RNAcentral lists this long non-coding RNA (1586 nucleotides) under Homo sapiens (human). RNAcentral's name for it is "non-protein coding lnc-CLGN-5:1". The record is from RNAcentral. Lineage: Eukaryota; Metazoa; Chordata; Mammalia; Primates; Hominidae.